UACGAAGGGGGCUAGCGUUGCUCGGAAUCACUGGGCGUAAAGGGUGCGUAGGCGGGUCUUUAAGUCAGGGGUGAAAUCCUGGAGCUCAACUCCAGAACUGCCUUUGAUACUGAAGAUCUUGAGUUCGGGAGAGGUGAGUGGAACUGCGAGUGUAGAGGUGAAAUUCGUAGAUAUUCGCAAGAACACCAGUGGCGAAGGCGGCUCACUG
RNAcentral lists this ribosomal RNA (208 nucleotides) under uncultured bacterium. RNAcentral describes it as "partial 16S ribosomal RNA". It matches the Rfam family "Bacterial small subunit ribosomal RNA", at positions 524 to 731 of the family's 1533-position model. The record is from RNAcentral.